Molecule: ribosomal RNA, 1075 nt
Filed under: Cellulomonas sp. 734H3
Lineage: Bacteria; Bacillati; Actinomycetota; Actinomycetes; Micrococcales; Cellulomonadaceae
Description: bacterial SSU rRNA
Rfam family: Bacterial small subunit ribosomal RNA
Source: RNAcentral
UGCAGUCGAACGGUGAUCCGGUGCUUGCACCGGUGAUCAGUGGCGAACGGGUGAGUAACACGUGAGUAACCUGCCCCCGACUCUGGGAUAACCCCGGGAAAUCGGAGCUAAUACCGGAUACGAGACGCACAGGCAUCUGUUGCGUCUGGAAAGAAUUUCGGUCGGGGAUGGACUCGCGGCCUAUCAGCUUGUUGGUGGGGUAACGGCCCACCAAGGCGACGACGGGUAGCCGGCCUGAGAGGGCGACCGGCCACACUGGGACUGAGACACGGCCCAGACUCCUACGGGAGGCAGCAGUGGGGAAUAUUGCACAAUGGGCGAAAGCCUGAUGCAGCGACGCCGCGUGGGGGAUGAAGGCCUUCGGGUUGUAAACCCCUUUCAGCAGGGAAGAAGCGAAAGUGACGGUACCUGCAGAAGAAGCGCCGGCUAACUACGUGCCAGCAGCCGCGGUAAUACGUAGGGCGCAAGCGUUGUCCGGAUUUAUUGGGCGUAAAGAGCUCGUAGGCGGUUUGUCGCGUCUGCUGUGAAAACCCGAGGCUCAACCUCGGGCCUGCAGUGGGUACGGGCAGACUAGAGUGCGGUAGGGGAGACUGGAAUUCCUGGUGUAGCGGUGGAAUGCGCAGAUAUCAGGAGGAACACCGAUGGCGAAGGCAGGUCUCUGGGCCGCAACUGACGCUGAGGAGCGAAAGCAUGGGGAGCGAACAGGAUUAGAUACCCUGGUAGUCCAUGCCGUAAACGUUGGGCACUAGGUGUGGGGCUCAUUCCACGAGUUCCGUGCCGCAGCAAACGCAUUAAGUGCCCCGCCUGGGGAGUACGGCCGCAAGGCUAAAACUCAAAGGAAUUGACGGGGGCCCGCACAAGCGGCGGAGCAUGCGGAUUAAUUCGAUGCAACGCGAAGAACCUUACCAAGGCUUGACAUAUACCGAAAACUCAUGGAGACAUGGGGUCCGCAAGGGCGGUAUACAGGUGGUGCAUGGUUGUCGUCAGCUCGUGUCGUGAGAUGUUGGGGUUAAGUCCCGCAACGAGCGCAACCCUCGUCCUAUGUUGCCAGCACAUCAUGGUGGGGACUCAUAGG